This 585-nucleotide ribosomal RNA is filed under the name uncultured bacterium. RNAcentral's name for it is "bacterial SSU rRNA". It matches the Rfam family "Bacterial small subunit ribosomal RNA", at positions 338 to 916 of the family's 1533-position model. The record is from RNAcentral.
CCUACGGGAGGCAGCAGUGGGGAAUUUUGGACAAUGGGCGCAAGCCUGAUCCAGCCAUGCCGCGUGCGGGAAGAAGGCCUUCGGGUUGUAAACCGCUUUUGUCAGGGAAGAAAUCCUUUGGGUUAAUACCUCGGGGGGAUGACGGUACCUGAAGAAUAAGCACCGGCUAACUACGUGCCAGCAGCCGCGGUAAUACGUAGGGUGCGAGCGUUAAUCGGAAUUACUGGGCGUAAAGCGUGCGCAGGCGGUUGUGUAAGACAGAUGUGAAAUCCCCGGGCUCAACCUGGGAACUGCAUUUGUGACUGCACGGCUCGAGUACGGCAGAGGGGGAUGGAAUUCCGCGUGUAGCAGUGAAAUGCGUAGAUAUGCGGAGGAACACCGAUGGCGAAGGCAGUCCCCUGGGCCUGUACUGACGCUCAUGCACAAAAGCGUGGGGAGCAAACAGGACUAGAUACCCUGGUAGUCCACGCCCUAAACGAUGUCAACUGGUUGUUGGGUGGGUUUCUACUCAGUAACGAAGCUAACGCGUGAAGUUGACCGCCUGGGGAGUACGGCCGCAAGGUUGAAACUCAAAUGAAUUGACGG